CACCGGAGGUCGCAUCAUAGAUCCUUUUCGGAGUUCUUUGGCUCCGAAAACAGUGGAAGCUCUUAUUUGUUGUCAAAAUUGGUUGAGAUCUUCUCCCAAUUUUCAGUAUGUUGAGUCACUCUUGCCUGAUAUUGAAGAUGAAGAAAGCUACAAGCUUGAGUCGGAAAUUUUGUCUAAUUCCCUCACAUUUGACGCGAAUUAAGGCUUAAUGGAUGAACUUUGCGGGGUAAUGUUUUGUUUAAAGUAUUUGGAAGCAAAUUUAAGGAAUUGAAG
Molecule: non-coding RNA, 273 nt
Organism: Corylus avellana
Lineage: Eukaryota; Viridiplantae; Streptophyta; Magnoliopsida; Fagales; Betulaceae
Source: RefSeq, a predicted model, not a curated record